Molecule: ribosomal RNA, 1463 nt
Filed under: Salmonella enterica subsp. diarizonae
Lineage: Bacteria; Pseudomonadati; Pseudomonadota; Gammaproteobacteria; Enterobacterales; Enterobacteriaceae
Description: partial 23S ribosomal RNA
Rfam family: Bacterial large subunit ribosomal RNA
Source: RNAcentral
AAGCGACCAAGCGUACACGGUGGAUGCCCUGGCAGUCAGAGGCGAUGAAGGACGUGCUAAUCUGCGAAAAGCGCCGGUAAGGUGAUAUGAACCGUUAUAACCGGCGAUGUCCGAAUGGGGAAACCCAGUGUGACUCGUCACACUAUCAUUAACUGAAUCCAUAGGUUAAUGAGGCGAACCGGGGGAACUGAAACAUCUAAGUACCCCGAGGAAAAGAAAUCAACCGAGAUUCCCCCAGUAGCGGCGAGCGAACGGGGAGGAGCCCAGAGCCUGAAUCAGCAUGUGUGUUAGUGGAAGCGUCUGGAAAGGCGCGCGAUACAGGGUGAGAGCCCCGUACACAAAAGCGCACAUGCUGUGAGCUCGAUGAGUAGGGCGGGACACGUGGUAUCCUGUCUGAAUAUGGGGGGACCAUCCUCCAAGGCUAAAUACUCCUGACUGACCGAUAGUGAACCAGUACCGUGAGGGAAAGGCGAAAAGAACCCCGGCGAGGGGAGUGAAACAGAACCUGAAACCGUGUACGUACAAGCAGUGGGAGCCUCUCUUUAUGGGGGGUGACUGCGUACCUUUUGUAUAAUGGGUCAGCGACUUAUAUUCUGUAGCAAGGUUAACCGCAUAGGGGAGCCGAAGGGAAACCGAGUCUUAAUUGGGCGUUAAGUUGCAGGGUAUAGACCCGAAACCCGGUGAUCUAGCCAUGGGCAGGUUGAAGGUUGGGUAACACUAACUGGAGGACCGAACCGACUAAUGUUGAAAAAUUAGCGGAUGACCUGUGGCUGGGGGUGAAAGGCCAAUCAAACCGGGAGAUAGCUGGUUCUCCCCGAAAGCUAUUUAGGUAGCGCCUCGUGAACUCAUCUCCGGGGGUAGAGCACUGUUUCGGCUAGGGGGCCAUCCCGGCUUACCAACCCGAUGCAAACUGCGAAUACCGGAGAAUGUUAUCACGGGAGACACACGGCGGGUGCUAACGUCCGUCGUGAAGAGGGAAACAACCCAGACCGCCAGCUAAGGUCCCAAAGUCAUGGUUAAGUGGGAAACGAUGUGGGAAGGCCCAGACAGCCAGGAUGUUGGCUUAGAAGCAGCCAUCAUUUAAAGAAAGCGUAAUAGCUCACUGGUCGAGUCGGCCUGCGCGGAAGAUGUAACGGGGCUAAACCAUGCACCGAAGCUGCGGCAGCGACACUUUAGUGUUGUUGGGUAGGGGAGCGUUCUGUAAGCCGUUGAAGGUGUCCUGUGAGGGGUGCUGGAGGUAUCAGAAGUGCGAAUGCUGACAUAAGUAACGAUAAAGCGGGUGAAAAGCCCGCUCGCCGGAAGACCAAGGGUUCCUGUCCAACGUUAAUCGGGGCAGGGUGAGUCGACCCCUAAGGCGAGGCCGAAAGGCGUAGUCGAUGGGAAACGGGUUAAUAUUCCCGUACUUGGUGUUACUGCGAAGGGGGGACGGAGAAGGCUAUGUUGGCCGGGCGACGGUUGUCCCG